This 699-nucleotide ribosomal RNA is filed under the name uncultured bacterium. Its description in RNAcentral is "bacterial SSU rRNA". It matches the Rfam family "Bacterial small subunit ribosomal RNA", at positions 802 to 1504 of the family's 1533-position model. The record is from RNAcentral.
GUAAACGAUGGAUGCUCGAUGCUGGUCCGUUUCAGGGGCAGUGUCCAAGCUAACGCGUUAAGCAUCCCACCUGGGGAGUACGAUCGCAAGGUUGAAACUCAAAGGAAUUGACGGGGGCCCGCACAAGCGGUGGAGCAUGUGGCUUAAUUCGAUGCAACGCGAAGAACCUUACCCAGGCUCGAACACUACCGGACAACCCCCGAAAAGGGGUCUCCUUCGGGCUGGUAGUGAGGUGCUGCAUGGCUGUCGUCAGUUCGUGUCGUGAGAUGUUGGGUUAAGUCCCGCAACGAACGCAACCCCUAUCGCUAGUUACCAGCGGGUAAUGCCGGGGACUCUAGCGAGACUGCCUGCGCAAGCAGUGAGGAAGGUGGGGACGACGUCAAGUCAUCAUGGCCCUUACGCCUGGGGCUGCACACGUGCUACAAUGGCCGGUACAAUGGGCUGCCACCCCGCGAGGGGGAGCGAAUCCACAAAGCCGGUCUCAGUUCGGAUCGGAGUCUGCAACCCGACUCCGUGAAGCUGGAAUCGCUAGUAAUCGCGUAUCAGCUACGACGCGGUGAAUACGUUCCCGGGCCUUGUACACACCGCCCGUCAAGCCAUGGAAGUUGAGGGUACCCGAAGUCCGUGACCCAACCUUAGGGAGGGAGCGGCCGAAGGUAAACUCAGUGACUGGGGCUAAGUCGUAACAAGGUAGCCGUA